RNAcentral lists this ribosomal RNA (253 nucleotides) under uncultured bacterium. RNAcentral's name for it is "partial 16S ribosomal RNA". It matches the Rfam family "Bacterial small subunit ribosomal RNA", at positions 524 to 776 of the family's 1533-position model. The record is from RNAcentral.
GACGUAGGAUGCGAGCGUUGUCCGGAAUCAUUGGGCGUAAAGAGUUCGUAGGCGGUAUAUCAAGUCUGGUGUUAAAGUCCGGAACUCAACUUCGGGAAGGCACUGGAAACUGAUAAACUAGAGUGCAGUAGAGGCAAGGGGAAUUCCUAGUGUAGCGGUGAAAUGCGUAGAUAUUAGGAGGAACACCGGUGGCGUAAGCGCCUUGCUGGGCUGUUACUGACGCUGAGGAACGAAAGCCAGGGGAGCGAAUGGG